RNAcentral lists this ribosomal RNA (403 nucleotides) under uncultured Acetobacterium sp. RNAcentral's name for it is "bacterial SSU rRNA". It matches the Rfam family "Bacterial small subunit ribosomal RNA", at positions 356 to 774 of the family's 1533-position model. The record is from RNAcentral. Lineage: Bacteria; Bacillati; Bacillota; Clostridia; Eubacteriales; Eubacteriaceae.
GGGGAAUAUUGCGCAAUGGGGGAAACCCUGACGCAGCAAUACCGCGUGAGUGAAGAAGGUUUUCGGAUCGUAAAGCUCUGUUAUUGGGGAAGAAAAAAAGACGGUACCCAAGAAGAAAGUCCAGGCUAACUACGUGCCAGCAGCCGCGGUAAUACGUAGGGGACAAGCGUUGUCCGGAUUUACUGGGCGUAAAGGGCACGCAGGCGGUUUUUUAAGUCAGAUGUGAAAGGUACCGGCUCAACCGGUAACAUGCAUUUGAAACUGAAAGACUUGAGUAUUGGAGAGGCAAGUGGAAUUCCUGGUGUAGCGGUGAAAUGCGCAGAUAUCAGGAAGAACACCUAUGGCGAAGGCAGCUCUCUGGGACGGUACUGACGCUGAGACGCGAAAGCGUGGGGAGCGAACA